GACGAACGCUGGCGGCGGGCUUAACACAUGCAAGUCGAACGGAAAGGCCCUGCUUUUGUGGGGUGCUCGAGUGGCGAACGGGUGGGUAACACGUGAGUAACCUGCCCUUGACUUUGGGAUAACUUCAGGAAACUGGGGCUAAUACCGGAUAGGAGCUCCUGCUGCAUGGUGGGGGUUGGAAAGUUUCGGCGGUUGGGGAUGGACUCGCGGCUUAUCAGCUUGUUGGUGGGGUAGUGGCUUACCAAGGCUUUGACGGGUAGCCGGCCUGAGAGGGUGACCGGCCACAUUGGGACUGAGCUACGGCCCAGACUCCUACGGGAGGCAGCAGUGGGGAAUAUUGCACAAUGGGCGGAAGCCUGAUGCAGCCACGCCGCGUGCGGGAUGACGGCCUUCCGGUUGUAAACCGAUUUCGCCUGUGACGAAGCGUGAGUGACGGUAAUGGGUAAAGAAGCCCCGGCUAACUACGUG
This 468-nucleotide ribosomal RNA is filed under the name uncultured bacterium. Its description in RNAcentral is "partial 16S ribosomal RNA". It matches the Rfam family "Bacterial small subunit ribosomal RNA", at positions 28 to 507 of the family's 1533-position model. The record is from RNAcentral.